CUCCCGGUAGUCUAGUUGGUUUAUGGCGUCUGACUGUAAUGGAUUGUAGCAAUCAGAAUGUCGCGUGUUCGAAUCACGCCUGGGAGA
RNAcentral lists this transfer RNA (87 nucleotides) under Hirsutella minnesotensis 3608. It matches the Rfam family "tRNA". From Rfam's summary of the family: Transfer RNA (tRNA) molecules are approximately 80 nucleotides in length. Their secondary structure includes four short double-helical elements and three loops (D, anti-codon, and T loops). Further hydrogen bonds mediate the characteristic L-shaped molecular structure. tRNAs have two regions of fundamental functional importance: the anti-codon, which is responsible for specific mRNA codon recognition, and the 3' end, to which the tRNAs corresponding amino acid is attached (by aminoacyl-tRNA synthetases). tRNAs cope with the degeneracy of the genetic code in two manners: having more than one tRNA (with a specific anti-codon) for a particular amino acid; and 'wobble' base-pairing, i.e. permitting non-standard base-pairing at the 3rd anti-codon position. The record is from Rfam by way of RNAcentral. Lineage: Eukaryota; Fungi; Ascomycota; Sordariomycetes; Hypocreales; Ophiocordycipitaceae.